GGAUUAGAUACCCUGGUAGUCCACGCCGUAAACGAUGUCAACUAGCUGUUGGGUAUAUGAAUAUACUUAGUGGCGCAGCAAACGCGAUAAGUUGACCGCCUGGGGAGUACGGUCGCAAGACUAAAACUCAAAGGAAUUGACGGGGGCCCGCACAAGCGGUGGAGCAUGUGGUUUAAUUCGAUGCAACGCGAAGAACCUUACCUACCCUUGACAUACAGUGGAUUUAGCAGAGAUGCUGAAGUGCCUUCGGGAACACUGAUACAGGUGCUGCAUGGCUGUCGUCAGCUCGUGCCG
Molecule: ribosomal RNA, 294 nt
Filed under: uncultured bacterium
Lineage: Bacteria
Description: partial 16S ribosomal RNA
Rfam family: Bacterial small subunit ribosomal RNA
Source: RNAcentral